RNAcentral lists this non-coding RNA (64 nucleotides) under Tetraselmis sp. GSL018. The record is from RNAcentral. Lineage: Eukaryota; Viridiplantae; Chlorophyta; Chlorodendrophyceae; Chlorodendrales; Chlorodendraceae.
UUCACAAACGAGUUGGGUUAAUUUUCUAAUUUUCCUUUUCUUUCUUUUUCCUUUUUUCCUUUUU